UACGUAGGUGGCGAGCGUUGUCCGGAUUACUGGGCGUAAAGAGCGCGCAGGCGGUCGUACAAGUCGCGUGUGAAAGCCCCCGGCUCAACUGGGGAGGGUCACGCGACACUGUUCGACUCGAAGGCAGGAGAGGGAAGCGGAAUUCCCGGUGUAGAGGUGAAAUUCGUAGAUAUCGGGAGGAACACCGGUGGCGAAGGCGGCGAUCUGGGUCGAUACUGACGCUGAGGUGCGAAAGCGUGGGGAGCAAACAGG
RNAcentral lists this ribosomal RNA (252 nucleotides) under uncultured bacterium. RNAcentral's name for it is "partial 16S ribosomal RNA". It matches the Rfam family "Bacterial small subunit ribosomal RNA", at positions 524 to 776 of the family's 1533-position model. The record is from RNAcentral.